AAGACUUUAAGUUAAAAUAAACUUUUAACCUUCAAAGUUAACUAUAAAGCAAAUUUCUUUAAGUCUUA
Molecule: transfer RNA, 68 nt
Filed under: Fibla pasiphae
Lineage: Eukaryota; Metazoa; Arthropoda; Insecta; Raphidioptera; Inocelliidae
Description: tRNA-Trp
Source: RNAcentral